UUGAAUCUAAGCCCCACUACAGCAACAAAAAUGGAAAUGAUUCUGUUAGAAUGAUGAGUAACAAAGUUCAAGUAAAUUUUAAUACACAGAGUUGGAAUUCAUUUGACUAAGAAACAAAUUAUUAUUUCAAUAGCUUUGUAUAAUUCAUCAAAGGGAUGAGCUGGAAGAAGAGGGCCAUUAUGUCAAUGGUCAAGGGACUGACCAGACAAGGAAACAUGAGAAGGGAAAUGCAAGGGAGACAAGACAGGGUCACCGAAGAGAUUACUACUAGACAGGCGCUGAGGAGAGGAAGACAGCUAUGAAAUCAAGGUGGUACAGUUAUUGGUUUCAAAUUUUGACACAAGGUUAGCAAUUUCAGGGAGGUGAGUAAGUUGAUUACAUUAACCUCAGUACUCAACUGGUAUUCAUUUUAUCAACCCUGAAAGGAUGAAAGGCAAAGUGGACCUUGGAAGAAUUUGAGUUAUAGAAAAUGCCACAAAACACUUUAUCCAGCAUACUAACAAUUCUGCCAAGCUUUCCACUUUAAAGUGAUACAGUUGUUGCUAUGAUCAUUCUCCUCAUUUGGGGAUCACUUUUACUUUUCACAACAGAUGCCUCUGCUCUUGAGAGCUGACUAGUCUCAUGGAAUCUCUAUUCAGACAUUACUCACUCAACUGUCUCCCACCACCCACUCUUCACCAAUAUUGUGACCAUUUCCCACUCCUCAGCCCCUUACAAACUAUUUUAUCUAGUCCCUCCUCCCCAGAAUGGUUUGCUCAUAUUUUAAUAGCAGCUCAUCAAAUUGCAAUUCUUUAACAGGAACAUUAACUGCUUCAGACUCACCAAUCUGGUAGAGCCUACACAGACCAUGAGCAUAUCUUCUUCUUCCAGACUGAUCCAAUAAAAAAAAAAAGUCUGAAACUAAAUUGAAUCAUUUCCUUGUUUCAGACUGAUAAGUUACAUUCAGUUAACUGAUUGAGAUGGUCCAGCUAUUUCUCUCUUAUUGUUUGAGAACAACAGUGUUGUUGGUUAUUUGUGCUGAAUCAGGUUAUUUAUUUAUUUAAUUUCAGAUCAUGUAUUUUGUAGACAAUAGCUUUGCUAUUUACAAGUUUAGAAUGGACAAAUUACUGAUUCAUUGCAUUUAUCUUUGCAAGAGAGGCAAGGGAAUCAGGAUGUUUGUAACUCAGUGGACUUCAUUCAAAGAACAUUGGCUUUUUACCAAUGUUUACAUCCUUCACCAAUAUACAGCAAAAGAUAUGCACAUACAUACAUACAUACAUACAUACAUACAUACAUACAUACAUAC
Molecule: long non-coding RNA, 1285 nt
Organism: Octopus sinensis (East Asian common octopus)
Lineage: Eukaryota; Metazoa; Mollusca; Cephalopoda; Octopoda; Octopodidae
Exons: 3
Source: RefSeq, a predicted model, not a curated record